RNAcentral lists this long non-coding RNA (362 nucleotides) under Androctonus crassicauda. Lineage: Eukaryota; Metazoa; Arthropoda; Arachnida; Scorpiones; Buthidae. The record is from RNAcentral.
GAAUUUUAAAAAGCAGCACACAUUGUAAAGUACACAAGGCAAGUAAAAUAAGCAAUUAUUUUAAUAAAUAUAUAACAUAUAAAAAUGGUAAUAAUGUAUUAAAAAUAAAUAACUGCAGUGUGUAGAAUGCUUGAAUAAAGAUUUCAUGCACCAGGACGAUACUCAACAGCUGUUCUUGAAGGCAGUCAAGGUAGUGUUGCCAAAGUUGUUAAUUACAUUAAAAUUUCUUAACCUAUCCGAUAUUUAUAUGGAUUCCAGAAUGAGACCUCUUUUCAGAGAACUGCAGAAUUCUAGUCAAAAUGAAAAUAAACAAACACUGCUAAAUAGUGCUCUUUCACAGUUUUUUUGGGCUUUGCAGGACU